This 493-nucleotide ribosomal RNA is filed under the name uncultured bacterium. RNAcentral's name for it is "partial 16S ribosomal RNA". It matches the Rfam family "Bacterial small subunit ribosomal RNA", at positions 29 to 523 of the family's 1533-position model. The record is from RNAcentral.
AUUGAACGCUGGCGGCAUGCUUUACACAUGCAAGUCGAACGGUAACAGGUUAAGCUGACGAGUGGCGAACGGGUGAGUAAUGCAUCGGAACGUGCCCGGUCGUGGGGGAUAACGCAGCGAAAGCUGCGCUAAUACCGCAUACGAUCUGAGGAUGAAAGCGGGGGACCGUAAGGCCUCGCGCGAUCGGAGCGGCCGACGUCAGAUUAGGUAGUUGGUGGGGUAAAGGCUCACCAAGCCGACGAUCUGUAGCUGGUCUGAGAGGACGACCAGCCACACUGGGACUGAGACACGGCCCAGACUCCUACGGGAGGCAGCAGUGGGGAAUUUUGGACAAUGGGCGCAAGCCUGGUCCAGCAAUGCCGCGUGCAGGAAGAAGGCCUUCGGGUUGUAAACUGCUUUUGUACGGAGCGAAAAGGCUCUCUCUAAUACGGAGGGCUCAUGACGGUACCGUAAGAAUAAGCACCGGCUAACUACGUGCCAGCCGCCGCCGUAA